GUUGGUUCUACCCGAAGACGAUGCGCCAACCGCAAGGGGGGUAGCCGGCCACGGUAAGGUCAGCGACUGGGGUGAAGUCGUAACAAGGUAGCUGUAGGUGAACCUGCAGAAGGAUCA
Molecule: ribosomal RNA, 117 nt
Filed under: uncultured eukaryote
Lineage: Eukaryota
Description: partial small subunit ribosomal RNA
Rfam family: Bacterial small subunit ribosomal RNA
Source: RNAcentral